GGGCCGGUAGCGUAGUGGUCAGCGUGUUCGCUAAGCGUUUUUCAGCGGUGCUUUCCAGCGUUGCUUUCCAGCGUUUAGCGAGAGUCCUGGGUUCAAAUCCCAGCCCGCCCA
This is a non-coding RNA of Immersiella caudata, 111 nucleotides long. NCBI's taxonomy places the organism in Eukaryota, Fungi, Ascomycota, Sordariomycetes, Sordariales, Lasiosphaeriaceae. The record is from the annotation of a GenBank genome assembly.